AUUGAACGCUGGCGGCAGGCCUAACACAUGCACGUCGAGCGGAGCGGCGGACGGGUGAGUAAUGCCUAGGAAUCUGCCUGGUAGUGGGGGAUAACGUCCGGAAACGGGCGCUAAUACCGCAUACUAUCAGAUGAGCCUAGGUCGGAUUAGCUAGUUGGUGGGGUAAAGGCCUACCAAGGCGACGAUCCGUAACUGGUCUGAGAGGAUGAUCAGUCAGAAUGGAACUGAGACACGGUCCAGACUCCGACGGGAGGCAGAAGUGGGGAAUAUUUGACAAUGGGCGAAAGCUUGAUCCAGCCAUGCCGCGUGUGUGAAGAAGGUCUUGGGAUUGUAAAGCACUUUAAGUUGGGAGGCGUUACCAACAGAAUAAGCACCGGCUAAGGUCGAGCCAGCAGCCGCGGUAAGUC
RNAcentral lists this ribosomal RNA (407 nucleotides) under uncultured bacterium. RNAcentral's name for it is "partial 16S ribosomal RNA". It matches the Rfam family "Bacterial small subunit ribosomal RNA", at positions 30 to 526 of the family's 1533-position model. The record is from RNAcentral.